This 1381-nucleotide ribosomal RNA is filed under the name Klebsiella pneumoniae. Its description in RNAcentral is "bacterial SSU rRNA". It matches the Rfam family "Bacterial small subunit ribosomal RNA", at positions 61 to 1434 of the family's 1533-position model. Lineage: Bacteria; Pseudomonadati; Pseudomonadota; Gammaproteobacteria; Enterobacterales; Enterobacteriaceae. The record is from RNAcentral.
GUCGAGCGGUAGCACAGAGAGCUUGCUCUCGGGUGACGAGCGGCGGACGGGUGAGUAAUGUCUGGGAAACUGCCUGAUGGAGGGGGAUAACUACUGGAAACGGUAGCUAAUACCGCAUAACGUCGCAAGACCAAAGUGGGGGACCUUCGGGCCUCAUGCCAUCAGAUGUGCCCAGAUGGGAUUAGCUGGUAGGUGGGGUAACGGCUCACCUAGGCGACGAUCCCUAGCUGGUCUGAGAGGAUGACCAGCCACACUGGAACUGAGACACGGUCCAGACUCCUACGGGAGGCAGCAGUGGGGAAUAUUGCACAAUGGGCGCAAGCCUGAUGCAGCCAUGCCGCGUGUGUGAAGAAGGCCUUCGGGUUGUAAAGCACUUUCAGCGGGGAGGAAGGCGGUGAGGUUAAUAACCUUGUCGAUUGACGUUACCCGCAGAAGAAGCACCGGCUAACUCCGUGCCAGCAGCCGCGGUAAUACGGAGGGUGCAAGCGUUAAUCGGAAUUACUGGGCGUAAAGCGCACGCAGGCGGUCUGUCAAGUCGGAUGUGAAAUCCCCGGGCUCAACCUGGGAACUGCAUUCGAAACUGGCAGGCUAGAGUCUUGUAGAGGGGGGUAGAAUUCCAGGUGUAGCGGUGAAAUGCGUAGAGAUCUGGAGGAAUACCGGUGGCGAAGGCGGCCCCCUGGACAAAGACUGACGCUCAGGUGCGAAAGCGUGGGGAGCAAACAGGAUUAGAUACCCUGGUAGUCCACGCUGUAAACGAUGUCGAUUUGGAGGUUGUGCCCUUGAGGCGUGGCUUCCGGAGCUAACGCGUUAAAUCGACCGCCUGGGGAGUACGGCCGCAAGGUUAAAACUCAAAUGAAUUGACGGGGGCCCGCACAAGCGGUGGAGCAUGUGGUUUAAUUCGAUGCAACGCGAAGAACCUUACCUGGUCUUGACAUCCACAGAACUUAGCAGAGAUGCUUUGGUGCCUUCGGGAACUGUGAGACAGGUGCUGCAUGGCUGUCGUCAGCUCGUGUUGUGAAAUGUUGGGUUAAGUCCCGCAACGAGCGCAACCCUUAUCCUUUGUUGCCAGCGGUUAGGCCGGGAACUCAAAGGAGACUGCCAGUGAUAAACUGGAGGAAGGUGGGGAUGACGUCAAGUCAUCAUGGCCCUUACGACCAGGGCUACACACGUGCUACAAUGGCAUAUACAAAGAGAAGCGACCUCGCGAGAGCAAGCGGACCUCAUAAAGUAUGUCGUAGUCCGGAUUGGAGUCUGCAACUCGACUCCAUGAAGUCGGAAUCGCUAGUAAUCGUAGAUCAGAAUGCUACGGUGAAUACGUUCCCGGGCCUUGUACACACCGCCCGUCACACCAUGGGAGUGGGUUGCAAAAGAAGUAGGUAGC